Molecule: long non-coding RNA, 475 nt
Filed under: Pan troglodytes (chimpanzee)
Lineage: Eukaryota; Metazoa; Chordata; Mammalia; Primates; Hominidae
Description: long non-coding RNA NONPTRT002098
Source: RNAcentral
CUAUGAAAAUUCAGUAAGAAAAAGAAGAGUAUGGUAUUUGAGCCAAGACUAUUUAAUUCAAGCUCAAAGAUGUAAUAAGUACACUGUAAACAGAACAGACUAAAACCAAAAUGACAUGGUUACAUCACAGUGUUUAUUGUCUGCACCUAAGCAGGCAGAAAGGUGAUUCUGCAGGCGUUCCAAUAAACUGAGCCUGGACUAAUUGCAGUUUUGUCCAACAAACAAAUUGUUUUUAUUUUAAAAUCUACUAUAGUUAUAUUUUACAAUGGGCAUGCCAAUGCAGUAGUAGUCUACUUUAUUUAAAAAAAAAUUCAUGCAUUCUUCCACUAUGACUAAAUGAAAAUAUCAAGUUUUUAAAAAAAUACCAAGUCUUGAAUGACGUGCAAAUAAACUAGUCAGUGUCAAUGCACCUUCAUCCCUACUCAAAAAGACUUCCUCUUCUUCAACUGCUUUUUCUUCCCAAUUCCACAGGGCC